This 496-nucleotide ribosomal RNA is filed under the name uncultured bacterium. Its description in RNAcentral is "partial 16S ribosomal RNA". It matches the Rfam family "Bacterial small subunit ribosomal RNA", at positions 28 to 507 of the family's 1533-position model. The record is from RNAcentral.
GAUGAACGCUGGCGGCGUGCCUAAUACAUGCAAGUCGAGCGAACAGACGAGGAGCUUGCUCCUCUGACGUUAGCGGCGGACGGGUGAGUAACACGUGGAUACCUACCUAUAAGACUGGGAUAACUUCGGGAAACCGGAGCUAAUACCGGAUAAUAUAUUGAACCGCAUGGUUCCAUAGUGAAAGACGGUUUUGCUGUCACUUAUAGAUGGAUCCGCGCCGCAUUAGCUAGUUGGUAAGGUAACGGCUUACCAAGGCAACGAUGCGUAGCCGACCUGAGAGGGUGAUCGGCCACACUGGAACUGAGACACGGUCCAGACUCCUACGGGAGGCAGCAGUAGGGAAUCUUCCGCAAUGGGCGAAAGCCUGACGGAGCAACGCCGCGUGAGUGAUGAAGGUCUUCGGAUCGUAAAACUCUGUUAUUAGGGAAGAACAAAUGUGUAAGUAACUAUGCACGUCUUGACGGUACCUAAUCAGAAAGCCACGGCUAACUACGUG